CUACGGGGGGCUGCAGUGAGGAAUUUUGCGCAAUGGGGGAAACCCUGACGCAGCAACGCCGCGUGAGUGAAGAAGGCUUUCGGGUCGUAAAGCUCUGUCAGAUAGGAAAAAAAGUUCAUAUGUAAAUAGCUUAUGAAUCUGAUGGUACUAUCAGAGGAAGCACCGGCUAACUCCGUGCCAGCAGCCGCGGUAAUACGGAGGGUGCAAGCGUGGUUCGGAAUUACUGGGCGUAAAGGGCGUGUAGGCGGUAUGGUAAGUCAGAUGUGAAAGCCCUGGGCUUAACUCAGGAAGUGCAGUUGAUACUGCCAUCCUUGAGUAUGGGAGAGGAGAGUAGAAUUCCCAGUGUAGAGGUGAAAUUCGUAGAUAUUGGGAGGAAUACCCGUGGCGAAGGCGACUCUCUGGACCAAUACUGACGCUGAGACGCGAAAGCGUGGGGAGCAAACAGGAUUAGAUACCCGAGUAGUC
Molecule: ribosomal RNA, 465 nt
Filed under: uncultured bacterium
Lineage: Bacteria
Description: partial 16S ribosomal RNA
Rfam family: Bacterial small subunit ribosomal RNA
Source: RNAcentral